RNAcentral lists this ribosomal RNA (497 nucleotides) under uncultured bacterium. RNAcentral's name for it is "partial 16S ribosomal RNA". It matches the Rfam family "Bacterial small subunit ribosomal RNA", at positions 28 to 507 of the family's 1533-position model. The record is from RNAcentral.
GAUGAACGCUGGCGGCGUGCCUAAUACAUGCAAGUCGAGCGAACGGACGAGAAGCUUGCUUUUCUGAUGUUAGCGGCGGACGGGUGAGUAACACGUGGAUAACCUACCUAUAAGACUGGGAUAACUUCGGGAAACCGGAGCUAAUACCGGAUAAUAUUUUGAACCGCAUGGUUCAAAAGUGAAAGACGGUCUUGCUGUCACUUAUAGAUGGAUCCGCGCUGCAUUAGCUAGUUGGUAAGGUAACGGCUUACCAAGGCAACGAUGCUUAGCCGACCUGAGAGGGUGACCGGCCACACUGGAACUGGGACACGGUCCAGACUCCUACGGGAGGCAGCAGUAGGGAAUCUUCCGCAAUGGGCGAAAGCCUGACGGAGCAACGCCGCGUGAGUGAUGAAGGUCUUCGGAUCGUAAAACUCUGUUAUUAGGGAAGAACAAAUGUGUAAGUAACUGUGCACAUCUUGACGGUACCUAAUCAGAAAGCCACGGCUAACUACGUG